UGGUGGAGGACAAUGGAGGUUGGGGUUACUCGGGAGAACUGAGCAAAGCUCUUCAUUAUUUUUCAAGUUUUUAAUUUUUAAUCUUAUUUUUCAUUUAAAAAUUAAUUGUUUAAAUGACAAGAAACCCUCUCAAAAUCCAUUCAAAUCUUUAAUCAAAAUCUAUAAGAAUCCUUGAAAAUCCAUUUGAAAUCUAUAAUCCUAUCAAAUCUUCACUUUAAAAAGUUUUAAAAUCCUUCUAAAUCCUCGUUUGACUACACCUCUUUUAGAUUUGAUAGUAUUUUUUUUUCCUAAUAAUAUGUUUUUUCCUUUACUUGACAUUGUGUGAUCAAAACCUUCUCUUAUUCUAGAACAUUUUAUUUGAUUUAUUCAAGUUAACUGCCAAGCCAAAAAUAAAAGUCUGUAUACAUGGUAACAGUUGUAUGUAGAAAUUCUCAUUAUUUUCUUUUUUUAAUAUAUUUUAUUUUGGAGUAAUUAGGUUUUCAUCCUUAUUUUUACUACUCUAUUGAUUAAAACCUUAUUACUUUUCAAUUU
RNAcentral lists this long non-coding RNA (531 nucleotides) under Malus domestica (apple). Its description in RNAcentral is "long non-coding RNA (MDOM_LNC015250)". Lineage: Eukaryota; Viridiplantae; Streptophyta; Magnoliopsida; Rosales; Rosaceae. The record is from RNAcentral.